Molecule: long non-coding RNA, 107 nt
Organism: Thalassophryne amazonica
Lineage: Eukaryota; Metazoa; Chordata; Actinopteri; Batrachoidiformes; Batrachoididae
Exons: 3
Source: RefSeq, a predicted model, not a curated record
ACAUGUAUAAAAGGUGUGCUGCGUGAUUUAUAGCUCGGCAACAAUGGAGGACAGCAGGAAUCAUAAAUUGGAGUUGGGUAGUGUUAUAUUGUGUGGAUGUAGCAUCC